GAUGAACGCUGGCGGCGUGCCUAAUACAUGCAAGUCGAGCGAACAGACGAGGAGCUUGCUCCUCUGACGUUAGCGGCGGACGGGUGAGUAACACGUGGAUAACCUACCUAUAAGACUGGGAUAACUUCGGGAAACCGGAGCUAAUACCGGAUAAUAUAUUGAACCGCAUGGUUCAAUAGUGAAAGACGGUUUUGCUGUCACUUAUAGAUGGAUCCGCGCCGCAUUAGCUAGUUGGUAAGGUAACGGCUUACCAAGGCAACGAUGCGUAGCCGACCUGAGAGGGUGAUCUGCCACACUGGAACUGAGACACGGUUCAGACUCCUACGGGAGGCAGCAGUAGGGAAUCUUCCGCAAUGGGCGAAAGCUUGACGGAGCAACGCCGCGUGAGUGAUGAAGGUCUUCGGAUCGUAAAACUCUGUUAUUAGGGAAGAACAAAUGUGUAAGUAACUAUGCACGUCUUGACGGUACCUAAUCAGAAAGCCACGGCUAACUACGUG
Molecule: ribosomal RNA, 497 nt
Filed under: uncultured bacterium
Lineage: Bacteria
Description: partial 16S ribosomal RNA
Rfam family: Bacterial small subunit ribosomal RNA
Source: RNAcentral